UGGGGCAUUCAGGACAGGCUGCUGUUCUAAUUACAACCAUGCUUUUCACCUAGACCCACCACUGGCUGAAGCAGCAACUUAUACAAGUGACAUGACGUCAUUUCUGUUUCUCCUAUUUCUUGUCAUGACAAGUUAAAGUCACAGAAGUGGAAAUACUGGGUCAUAAGGUCUGUAAUCUUGCCCUGCAAAAUCCCUCUGCAAUGACCCAGAAGGUGAUGGGUAAGA
Long non-coding RNA from Manis pentadactyla (Chinese pangolin), 225 nucleotides. RefSeq lists it as uncharacterized. The transcript has 3 exons. The record is from RefSeq and is a predicted model, not a curated record. NCBI's taxonomy places the organism in Eukaryota, Metazoa, Chordata, Mammalia, Pholidota, Manidae.